RNAcentral lists this long non-coding RNA (3411 nucleotides) under Marmota monax (woodchuck). Lineage: Eukaryota; Metazoa; Chordata; Mammalia; Rodentia; Sciuridae. The record is from RNAcentral.
GAAAGAUGGUGGAAUGAGACGGACCUUAUUACCCUAUGUACAUGCAUGAUUAUAAGAUUCGUGUUCAAGUUCCUAGUCUUACUUGUCUUUGAUGCCCAUAUGCCCCUAUGAUUAUGUGAGGCUUCUAAUAGAUUCCCUCUUUUGCCCAAGUUUAAGUAGCAUUUCUGUUACUUGAUAUCAUUGAAGUCUUGAUAAAAACUGUUGUAAAAGGUAAUUCUAAAAUCAAUGUAGAUGUGUUUAGGAUCCGUGUGUGUAUUGGUGGGAGGUGAGAUUAUAGUAAAUAGUAACCAGGAGCAGGGAGAUAGUUUAUGAGACUGUUUCAGUAAUCCACCUGAAGGUAAUAACAAUCUGAGCUAAGGCACAUCAGGGGGCCAGGCUUGCCAUGACCCGUUUCUUAUAAGCCUUGAGCCAGCUGCCCAUAUCUAUGGGCUGGUCAUCUUUAUAUGGUUGCAGUGUAACUAGUCACUAUUUAUUAUGGGCAUUUUCCCUAUGUCCUUAGGCAUAGUUAUAAUAGCUGCUUAAAAAUUCUUGUUUGUUAAUUCUGAAAAUGUUGGUCAUCUUGGGGUCACUUUUUAUUGAUUGCCUUUCUUCUUCAGUAUGGGUAAUAUAUUCCUGUUUCCUAUAUAUCCAUUCAUUUUGACUUGUCUCCUGAACAUUGUAGAGGAUGCAAAUCUGUAAUUCAUUUUUUUCCCUAUGAAAAGUAUUGAUUUUUGUUUUUGUUUUAGCAGACAGUUAAUAUAACUCAAACUCCAUACUCAGUCUCUCUUAUGGUAGGCACCAACUGAAAUACCUAUUCAGUUCUUUGAAAUUUACAUGGACUGUUUGAAGAUGGCCCCACACACUUAUAAUUCAGAGGUUUGUCAGACUUUGAGGCAUUUUAUAUGCAGAAUUUAGGGCUCUACCUAUCAAGCUUGGUCCAUUCUAGGAUUUUACCCCUACUCUUUCCAGCUUCUGUGGAAACCCUGAGCUCUGUCCUCUGAUUUUCAAGUUAGUAAGAUUCAAUUUCAGCCAGCCACCAGAGCACUGACUGGGGCCUACUCUGUGGCUAAAAGUCUUAAAAAUGGGAAGCUCAUCUAGAUCUGAUCCCAUCUUUGAAGUGUUGAUUUUCUUCCAGUUUCUGCCUACUUGUCAAUAUUUGCAGGCAGUUAUUUUUUUUUUUAAUAUUUUGUCCAGGGUAUAUACUUGCUAUAUUUGAAGGAAGAUGAACUUGAUGAAAGCUACUUGGUCUUUUAUUGGAAGCCAAAACCUGUCAAGUCACUACUAUUAUUUAACCUGUGGCAUAUAUGGCAGGAGCACUCUAGUGCAGUAAGAAUUUGUAUGUAGGCUUUGGAUGUUUGAUCCAGAAGAUAUGACUUGAUAAAGGAAGUCUUUACAAUUAAGUAAGCUAAAGGUGAUGACAUUUUAGGAUGACACGUUUGGAGGUAUGAGGGGCUUGGUAAUCUCCCACUUGGUCUGCUGUGAACUUAAAUAAUGUCACCCUACACAGGUGGAAUCCUACUGUCACCAACCUGAGUGCCUCUCCCAUAAGGAGUUUCAUUCAUCAAACACCUCCUAUCCUAGUAUCUCUGGAUCACCUCUGCUUUUUUUUUUUUUUAAAAAAAAGCAAUAUUUGAACUUAAUGUAGUAAACUAUACUUUCUUUGCAGUUUAUAGACCAGAACAACAGGCCAAGACCACUACCCAGUCCUCUGCCAGACCUACUGUGUGGGAUGCACAGGGUAGAUAAAUUGACAAGUGUUUUACUGGGUUGGAUGGUCAGGGAUUAGUGACAAAGUAUAGGCAGGGAAAUAAAAGAGAGGAGUUAAGGACUAGCUUCAAAUUUCUGCUUUUAGCAUCUAGAUGGGUGGUAAAUAGAGGAGAGAAAAGAAAGCAAGUUUAAGGGAGAAGGUGAAUUCAGCUUUGGCCAUGUUUGAAGUAUCUGUGAGACAGUUAAGCAGAAUAUAUAUGAAUCUGGAAGGCUGAAGAGACGUCUGAGAGGGUGAUAUAUAUUGAAGAAUGACUGGCAGAUAAGCAUAUAUGAAGCUACCUGUGUAAGUGAUAUAACUGGAUAACAUAUACAGAAUGGGAACUGAUAACAAAGCCCAGUGGUAAAGCAGGGGAUACUGUAAGAAAUUAGUCACUUUGAGAGACUGAGAAGCAGUCAGAAAAGGAAAGUCAAAACAGGAAAUGUGGUAUACAGAAGCCAGGGGAGAUGAGUUUCAAGAAGGAGUUAGUGGCCAAUAGAGUUCAAUUCAGAGAAAAGCAAGGAAAGCAAGCACUAAAAAGCAUCCAUUGGAUUUAGCAUCUAAAAGAUCUUCACCUCAGAGUUCACAUUUGCAGUGGAGUGGCAGGGAGUGUGACCACAUUGUAGUGGUUUGAGGAGUACAUGGGGGUGGUAGAUAACAGCAUGUGGCUCUUAUUAAUCAUCCUUUCCAGAAACCAUUCCCCUGUGUAGUCCCCUACUCUUAAAUCUGGUGUGCUCUGUGAAAAUGUAAGGAAGUGAUGCUGCUUAAAUUCCAAGGGUAGGUUGUAAGAAGCCUUGAAACUUUUGCCUUGGCCUUUUGGAGCUCUGAACAACCACAUAAGAAAUCUGAGCACCUUGCUAAGGAGACCAAGUAAAGAAGCCCUGAGACGACAUGGAGUGAGACAGCAACACAGCUAAGCCCAAUUUCCAGAUAUCUCCACCAGGUGGCAGGCAUAGGAAUGAAGGAAGCCAUCUGGGGCCCUCCAGACCAACCUGCCAAUCAGCUGGAUACCACUGACCCCAUUAGAUACCUCAUAGGGUAGACUUGCCCACAUUCCUCACACAGUCAUGAAUAUAAUUAAAUAAUUAUUAUUUAAGCCCUAAGUUUUGGGGCGAUUUUUUUACACAUGAUGUAAAACCCGAAGAUUGGGUGUUGAAGUAGUGAGACUGUUAGUGCAUGUUAUACCUUCAAUAAGCUUGGAAAGAGAAUGAUCUAAUGGCAGCUGGAAGGUCACAAGACUGAGGGAAGAUUUUGAUAAAAAUGUUAGAGACUUGGGAAUGUGCACAGGCUGAUGGGGAAGAGCUAUGAGAAAGAGAAAAUUGAAAAUGUAGAAGAGGGAGGAGGCAGCUGAUGCAUGAAGUUCUCAUCCUAUCUGAUUUUAUUUCCUACUUUUCCAGCACAAUAGUUUUUAGACUUAUUUAAAAUGCAAUUUUAUUUUGAAAUAGUUUUAGAUUUACAGAAAGUUUGCAAAAAAGACAGUUACCAUGUGUGACCCACACUCUGGUAGAGGGUCUGAUCUUAGAAACCAGGAUAGUAGGAUACUUUAGCUUCUAAAUUAGAAAGUAUCUUCCCUCCUCUGGAUAUUUAAAAAUGCCAAGCUUUCAAACAUAUAUAAUUAUAUAAAUGUUACAUGUGUAUGUAUGUGUGUAUGUGUUUAUAUAUGUUUUACAUGUAUGUAUAGGAUAUAU